Molecule: ribosomal RNA, 220 nt
Filed under: uncultured fungus
Lineage: Eukaryota; Fungi
Description: partial 18S ribosomal RNA
Rfam family: Eukaryotic small subunit ribosomal RNA
Source: RNAcentral
GGGUUAGUAGGUUGGUCAUGCCUCUAGUAUGUACUGGUCUCACUGAUUCCUCCUUCCUUAUGAACCGUAAUGCUAUUAAUUUGGUGUUGCGGGAAAUUUGGACUGUUACUUUGAAAAAUUAGAGUGUUUAAAGCAAGCUAACGCUUGAAUACAUUAGCGUGGAAUAAUGAAAUAGGACGUUCGAUCUUAUUUUGUUGGUUUCUAGGAUUGACGUAAUGAU